This is a non-coding RNA of Schizosaccharomyces pombe (fission yeast), 5428 nucleotides long. NCBI's taxonomy places the organism in Eukaryota, Fungi, Ascomycota, Schizosaccharomycetes, Schizosaccharomycetales, Schizosaccharomycetaceae. The record is from the annotation of a GenBank genome assembly.
AUAAAAUUAAAGUCGUUUUUUUUAUUGGAAACCAGAAAUAAUAAUUAUGCAGCUAACCUAUUUUAUUAUCUGUUUACAAACUCUUAAGAAACAUUAAAAAGGGCAUUAUACCAAAAAAUUCAUAUUUUACUAUUUGGCUUUCUUAACAUCAUUGGAAACAUCCAUACCAGCGUCUGAACUGGACCGUUUAGGAGGAGAAUUAGUGUCAACAGAGUGAGUUUUGGCGAUUAACUUUUUCUCUUUAACUUGAGCUGCUGGGACUUCAGAAUUGCUUUUAUUGGAAUCAGUGUUUUUAGAAGCUUCCAAACUUAAAAUUGCAGGGCUAUCUUUUUUCUUCGAUUGCUCCAACUCUGCUCGCACUCUAGCUAAGUUCUUUUCCAGCAUGCUCAACUUCAACUUGUUACGCAUCUCGAGUUCUUUUCGGAUGUUAUCUAGUUGUUUUUGAUGCGACUGAGCAACUUGUUCCUCAACAUCCUUCUGUAAAAUUUCUCUGCGCUUUUCCCAUUCCUUUUGCACAAAAGUAGUAAAGUCGGCAGUGGAAGUCGAAAAGUCAGAUAUGGACUCGUUGAAGAUUACUUGAAAUGUAACUGAUAACAUCUCUUCUGUCUUUUUUAAGUUUUCCAAAUCUUUAGUAUCAGCAUGUACCGAAGCGGACUCUGCUUCCUCGGAUGACACAACUGUCUCUUGCAAAGCUUUCACUUGAUCUUGUAAAACCUGAUUUUGUUUCCUGAGUAAUUCGUUUUUCUGUAGCUCUUUUGCAAUUCUCGAACGUAACCUCAAAACUUCCUGUUGCAUGACUUUCUUCCUUUCCAUUUCUUCUUCGUUGGGUAUUUCAGUAUCCUUACUGGUUCCCUCAGAUUUAUUACUAUUUUGUCUGACCUUCUCAAGCUCCUCCUUCGUAGUAUUUAAGAUAUCCAUAAUUUCACUUAGCUUUCGCUGUGUAGAAGAUAGUUCUUCCUUAGUGCUAUUGAAUUCUUCCAGUGACACCGUACUUGGUUCAGACUGUGUAGUAGCAGUGGGGGUUGCAGAAGGUUUGUUGAGUUGUUCAUUGAGCUGAUGACAUUCCGCAACCUUGGCUUCUAAUUCAGAAGUCUUUUGCGAAAGUUGUUGACGUAUUUGAUUGUGCUUUUCUAAGCUCUUGUUAACUACCUGCUCAUAUUUAGUUCGCCAAGCAGCUGCUAGUUUUGUAUUCUUCAACUCUAAUUGUUCAAUCUUGGAUUGGUUUUGCGCUCUCUCAUUUUCCAAAUCUUCGCUUUUUGAUUUAACAGUUUCCAAUUCAGAUUUCAAAUGACCAAUUUCUUGAUUUAACUCCUCUAUUAAGUUUUCUUUGGAAACAAGUUCAUUCUUUAAGCGUGAAGCAUCACUAGACGUAGAUGUGCUACUGUUCAAAGAUAGUAAUAUUUCUUGGUUAUGACGCUUGUAUUCUUCGUUGCUGUUUUCAAGCUUUUUUACAGCUGCUUUCUCUGUUUGAAGCUGUGAUUCUAGUUGUUCUUUAUUAAGUCUAAAAUUCGCCAAAUCAGUUUUAAGAGUUUCUAUUUUCUCUCUUAACUCUGUGAUAACUUCCUCGUUCCUUUCUAAAUUUUCUCGGAGAGAUUUGUUGCUCUCAUUUAAUAAAGCAACCAUGUUUAGAUAAUUUGAACGUUCCCCAACGGAUUCAGAAGUACUGCUAACAUCCUUUUCCGUUAUACCUCUUUGCAGAUCGGCGAUAACUCGAUUCGAUGAUUCAACGGUUCGCUUGAGUUUCUUAUUUUCAAGGAAUAAUAAUUGUCGUUGGCAUGAAAUAAUCUCCAUUUCUUUGGAUAUACGCUUCACAUGAUUCUGUAAAUCUGAUAAUCCUAAUUUCAUAACAGAAUCUAAAUCCGGGGAUGGGCUAGUUAUUUCUGCAAAGUUGAGAUUGGAAGAUUGAAGUUGGGUUAAAAGCAUUGCGUUUUGCUUUUUGAGGACAUAAACUUCCUGUCUCAAAGGAUCUUCUUUUUCACUAAUGGGAAAGGGCUGAGAUUCGUUUAUACCGGCCUUUAAGGCUAUUUCUUUAUUCAAAUCUUCAACCUGUUCUAAUGCCUUCGUGUAAUCCUCGCGCAGUUUUUGAAGAGUCGAUCUAGCAUCGGCAUGUCUUAAAAGUUCCUUUUCAUAAUCUUCACGAGUUUUUCUUAAAUCUUCAGUUACCAACAACAACUGUUGUUUAUAAUCAUUCUCCUUCUCUAAAUGUUGCUUUUCAGCAUUUCGGUGUGACGAAAGCUCAUUGUUAAGAUGCUUAUUUUCCUCUAAAAGCAAGGCAACUCUUGUUUCGCUAUCUUUAGUAAUAUUCUCACAGCGUAAAGAAGAAGAAGCUAUCUCAUCUUGUAGAAUAACUAUCCUUUGUUCAAGAGAAGUGAUUUUUAAAUGAUUUUUUUCCAAGGACUCUGAAGUUUGCAAUCGAUACUCAUCAUACUCAGUUUUAACUCUUUCAACCAUUUCUUCGGCGAGUUUGCUUGCGGCCUGUAACUGUUCAAUAUUCCUUAAAGAAUAAUUGUAUUGGGAUUCUAAGGAAGUAUGUUUAGAUUGCAAGUCACUAAGCGAUGAUUCUAGCAAAGCUUCCCUUUCGCUAUAGGACGUAUUUUUUUGCUGUGUAAACUUGGCUUCCAAAGUAGAAAAUCUUUGUUUUUCAAGUUCAAUGACGCCGUUUAAUUCUUGGAGUUUUAUUUCCAUCAUUUGUUGAUUAUCUAACAAUUUCCUGUUGUCUUCACUUAACGAUUGUUUUUCGAGCAUUAAUGUCUUAAUCCUGCUGGAGUACUCAAUUCCGCUCUUUUCCAAAGAUUUCUGUAGAGAAUGAAGAUCAUUACUCAUCUUUUCAUUUGACUCCUUCAACUUCUGCAAGGAAAGGCUUAAGCUUUCCUUCUCAGAUUCAAAUUUUACUUUUCUAGCAGCAUCAGAUAGCUGUUGCUGGUUAAGAAAAGUUUGAAGAUCUGAUACAAGACUCAUUAGUCUCUCGCGCUCAGCCAAAAGUUUAUCGUUUUCAGAUAUUAAACGCUCUUGCGUCCUUUUCCGUAAAUCUUUUUCACCCUUCGAAGCAUUUAGUUCACCUUUUAAUCUUUCAGCAAGUGAGUUAACAUGUAAUAAUUCUUCGGCAAAUUUACUGGCUCUCUGAUCCUGUCGACUAAUUAUAUCCUGUAAAUUUUGAUUAAUACUACGAAGCUCCUUGGCUUCCUUUUUAAAGGCUUCAACGUCAUUAUUAGCAUUAGUUAAUCUAUCAGUAGAUAACUGCUGCUGAUAUUUGGAAUUUUCUAACUCUUUACGUAUUGCUUCCAUCUCACUCAACAAAUCCUGAUUUCGCUUAGACAAGGAUUCCUGAAUAGCUGUCAUUUCGUUACGAUAAACUUCGUAAUUUUUCUCAAGUUCUCUUGUAGAUUCAUCAAUGGAUUUCAUUUUGUCAUCAAUAUUGCCCGCGGAAGAAUUGUGAGACAAAAUACUGCUUCGAGAAGUAGCUAACAUUUCUUUCAGUAAAUUUCGUUCAUUAAGUAAGGACUCAUUUUUUAUUUUUGACGAAUUUAACUCACUUUCCAAAUUUUUGAUUUGCUCUGAAAGUGUAUUUGAAUUUUCUUUAACUGCAUUGGAAAUUUGAUAUUGGACAGUUUGCUUUUGGAUUUCAACAUCGCAUUCAAGGGCCCGCACUUUUUCCCGCAGUUCUAGAGUUUUCGAAACAGCUUCCUUUAUAGAUGAAAAAUUAGCAAGCUCCUUGUUUACUAGUGUCUCAGAUGCAGUAGAGGGAUUUUGAGCGUAUUCAUCAAGCGCAACUUGCACAGUAGCGGGAACGUUUCUUGAUUUAGUUUCAUUCAAAUGAUCAAGUUCGGCCAUGAGACAAAUAACUUCUCGAGAAAGAUCACUGCAUUGAGUACGAGAUGCGGUGAGCUGCAAGUAACAAGCUUCUUGGCGCAUUUUGGUCGAUAAAAGCUCUGCUUGUACUUUGGUUAGGUUGUUGUUAGAUGUUUCCAAAGAUUCGCUAAGAAAAUUCAUAUAAAUGUUAUUCCUAACGAUUUCACUCCUCUGUUGUUUGACAACUGGAAUCCUUUGUUUAACUUGUUCACAAAAUGAGGAGAAUUUGUUAGUCAAGCGGUCUAGCUGAAGCUUUAAGCUAGAAACCUUCUGUUGGAGUUUCAUAUUGUCCGAAUAUACUUUCGUAAAUGAAAAUUCGGGAUUUUGAACGGCGCUUAACUUUUGCGCCAAAGGAGAAAACAAACCUACACCAGCUGAAACAGAGGUAUUUUUAUUUUCUUUAACCACUUGUAGUUCACUAACUACACUAUCAUAUUUCUCUUGCAGUUCCCGCAAACUAUUCUCCGAAAUCAAUAGCUGUUGCUUGUUAUUAUUUAACUCUUCGGUCACAUUAUUGUAUAGACUUUGUUGCGAAGUGAGCUUUUCUUGAAGUGCAGCAACCUCUGAUUGCAACUCUGAAGAUUUAGACUCCCAAAGAGCUGUAAGUCGUUUCUGAGUUUCCACUUCUUCUUCAAGUUCUUUGAUUGAAGUGGGGUCGGUUUCAAGGAUUUUUGAUAUGUUCCCAUCGGAGGAAUAAUUGCUCCGCUUUUGCUCAAAAAGCUGUAUUUUUUCGUUAAGCUCUGUAUUCUGUUGGGCAAGCCCAGCAAGCUUUUUCUCCAAAUCUUGAACUUGACGAGAUGAAACUUCUAAUUUUUCGCAAACUUUCGAAUGAUCUGAUUGCAAACUAGCCAAAUCAGAGACUAAAGCGCUUUUCUCCUGAACGAGUAUCUCUUCCUUGACACGACUGCUACUGCUAGCAAACAUGUGCUGUUUCUUUCUUUCUUCAAUAUCAGACAAUGCUUGAUGCGCACUCUGGACUUGCUCUCCUAAAUGUGAAUUUUCAUUUUGUAGGGCUUCGAUUUGAUCUUUCGCGAUUGAAAGCUGCUCAGAAGCAAUCUUAGAUUGCUCUUGUAAUUCAGAGUUAGCCCUUCUAAGCGACUGGUUCUCAGUAGUCAAUGCAUCAAAGCGCUUAUUUUGAUUCUCCAAGUUGGUUUUCAGCGAUUCGUUCUCAUUUCUCAAUACCGAUAUAAGAUUACGUGAUUCCUCUGCUUGAUUAUUAGAAGAUUGAAGUUGUUGCUCAAGAAAGUUAAUCUUCUUCGUAAGAACAUUCUCCUUAUGCUCAUGGUUGACUUCUUGAAGGACAAGCUGAUCCUUUAAAGCGUUUAUGUCUUUAACCUUGGUUUUAAUAGCAGAUAUAAAUACAGCGAAACCAUUGACAGACACCAGGGGUUUUAUAUCCUCAAAAGAUACAUCCAAAAACUCGUGUACCAGCUGAAUAUCAUCUUCAAGUCCCCCCGAAGACAUUUUCUAGCCUGGAAUCAACGUUCGAUGACUUAUGAAGCACCAGUGUACGUAUACGAGAAGUAAGUGAUCAACCUCGAUGUACAGAAAUAAUACCACGUUAGAAGAAAUGCGACAA